UAAACGACUCUCGGCAACGGAUAUCUCGGCUCACGCAUCGAUGAAGAACGUAGCAAAAUGCGAUACUUGGUGUGAAUUGCAGAAUCCCGUGAACCAUCGAGUUUUUGAACGCAAGUUGCGCCCGAAGCCAUCCGGUUGAGGGCACGUCUGCCUGGGCGUCACGU
This 164-nucleotide ribosomal RNA is filed under the name Pectis canescens. RNAcentral's name for it is "5.8S ribosomal RNA". It matches the Rfam family "5.8S ribosomal RNA". Rfam says of the family: 5.8S ribosomal RNA (5.8S rRNA) is a component of the large subunit of the eukaryotic ribosome. It is transcribed by RNA polymerase I as part of the 45S precursor that also contains 18S and 28S rRNA. Functionally, it is thought that 5.8S rRNA may be involved in ribosome translocation. The record is from RNAcentral. RNAcentral also lists the same sequence under 45 other names. Lineage: Eukaryota; Viridiplantae; Streptophyta; Magnoliopsida; Asterales; Asteraceae.